AUGCGGUAUGACGGUACCCUUUCGAAUAAGAGGUUGCUAACUCUGUGCCAGCAGCAGCGGUAAUACAGAGACCUCGAGCGUUAUCCGGAUUUACUGGGCGUAAAGCGUCUGUAGGGGGUUUGUUAAGUUCCAAGUAAAAUCUUAAGGCUCAACUUUAAGUUCGCUUGGAAAACUAAUAAACUGGAGUCCAGCAGAGGUGCAUGGAACUUGCGGUGUAGGAGUGAAAUCCGUUGAUAUCGCAAGGAACACCAAAGGCGAAGGCAUUGCACUGGGCUGGUACUGACCCUGAGAGACGAAAGCGUGGGGAGCAAAACGGAUUAGAUACCCGUGUAGUCCACGCCGUAAACGAUGGAUACUAGAUGUUCGGGGAUUCGACCCCCUGGGUGUCACAGCUAACGCGUUAAGUAUCCCGCCUGGGAAGUACGGCCGCAAGGCUGAAACUCAAAGGAAUAGACGGGGAUCCGCACAAGCGGUGGAGCGUCUGGUUUAAUUUGAUAGUAAGCAAUGGACCUCACCAAGGUUUGACAUCCUAUGACAACCCUGGAAACAGGGCUUCCUUCGGGCAUAGUGACAGGUGCUGCAUGGUCGUCGUCAGUUCGUGCCGUGAGGUGUUCCGUUAAGUCGGGAAACGAACGAAACCCUCGUCGCAUGUUACAAAUUUCAUGCGAGACUGCCCGGCUCAACCGGGAGGAAGGCGGGGAUGACGUCAGAUCAGCAUGGCCCUUAUACCUUGGGCUACACAGGCGCUACAAUGGCCGGUACAAAGGGUUGCAAAACCGCGAGGUGAAGCUAAUCCCAUAAAGCCGGUCCAAGUUCGGAUUGGAGGCUGCAACUCGCCUCCAUGAAGUUGGAAUCGCUAGUA
This 862-nucleotide ribosomal RNA is filed under the name uncultured organism. RNAcentral's name for it is "bacterial SSU rRNA". It matches the Rfam family "Bacterial small subunit ribosomal RNA", at positions 462 to 1340 of the family's 1533-position model. The record is from RNAcentral.